Molecule: non-coding RNA, 271 nt
Organism: Paramuricea clavata
Lineage: Eukaryota; Metazoa; Cnidaria; Anthozoa; Malacalcyonacea; Plexauridae
Source: the annotation of a GenBank genome assembly
AAAGGCGCUACGAAAACGUAAAUUAUAUGGGGUAAUCGCGAAUUUUUGCGAUCAAUCUGUUCAUAUUUUAGUCGCUAUUUUACCUUGUGAAGUAGUGUUCCUCUUCCUUUCAACCAAUAGCUCUUUUCCACUCUAAGUGUUUGUGUUUCUGGACACUACAAGACCUACAAUGUAUAUUUUUAUCCAAAUAUAUUAUUAAAAAUUUACAAAACAAAGUGGCAUGGUUAUACUAUAUUGAUUAUUGACUGACGCUGGUCAAACAUGCGGGCUA